RNAcentral lists this ribosomal RNA (483 nucleotides) under uncultured bacterium. RNAcentral's name for it is "bacterial SSU rRNA". It matches the Rfam family "Bacterial small subunit ribosomal RNA", at positions 8 to 518 of the family's 1533-position model. The record is from RNAcentral.
AGAGUUUGAUCCUGGCUCAGAAUGAACGCUGGCGGCGUGGAUUAGGCAUGCAAGUCGAACGGGGCCCUUCGGGGUCCAGUGGCGGAAGGGUGAGUAACACGUGAGCAACCGCCCCCAAGGCCGGAACAAGCGCUGGAAACGGCGUCUGAAACCGGAUGAGGACCCCGCACCGCAUGGUGUGGCGUCCAAAUAUUCAUACCCUGGGGAUGGGCUCGCGGCCCAUUAGCUUGUCGGCGGGGCGACGGCCCACCGAGGCGACGACGGGUAGGUGGUCUGAGAGGAUGGUCACCCACACUGGGACUGAGACACUGCCCAGACUCCUGCGGGAGGCUGCAGUCGAGAAUCUUCCGCAAUGGGCGCAAAGCCUGACGGAGCGAUGCCGCGUGAGGGACGGAGGCCUUCGGGUCGUGAACCUCUGUCGCCCGGGACGAUGAUGACGGUACCGGGAAAGGAAACCACGGCUAACCACGUGCCAGCCGCCGC